CUCCCGGUGGCCAAGCUGGUUUAAGGCGCGAGACUGUAAUGGUACAAUUGUAAUCUUGAGAUCGGGCGUUCGACUCGCCCCCGGGAGA
Molecule: transfer RNA, 88 nt
Filed under: Yarrowia lipolytica
Lineage: Eukaryota; Fungi; Ascomycota; Dipodascomycetes; Dipodascales
Also listed under: 1 other name
Rfam family: tRNA
About the family: Transfer RNA (tRNA) molecules are approximately 80 nucleotides in length. Their secondary structure includes four short double-helical elements and three loops (D, anti-codon, and T loops).
Source: RNAcentral